UGUGCCCUAAAAAAGAACACUGAAAAAGUAAAAGCAACGAAGCCAUUAGCAUGAAAGGAACUCGUGACUUGAUCAAUCUUCUUUCUUAGGUUUUCAAUUUUACUUUUGUUAAUUAUUACAAUGUUCUCCUCUAGCCCUUUUCCAGAGCUUCCCUUAUCCCCCAAUGACUUCAUCCCUCCCAAUUUGUUGUUUGAUGAUGAAAAAGAUUGUGUUUGCUUUAACUCCUACCAGAACAAGACCGACCCAUUUACCUCUGAUGGCUGUUUUUUUCAUUCUCCUCCAAUCAUAGAGAACAGCAAACAAAAUUUUGCUAGCCAGCAACAAAAGUUAUCUGAAGGACCAUUGUUAGAGUGUUGUGAAGAUCAUUAUGAACUUUUAGAUGCAGUAAAAUCUGUUAAGUGUAUGAAAAAAGCAGUCGAAUCAAAGAAAGACGUACGUAGUAAGAUCUGCACAGCUCGGGGUCUUAGAGAUCGGAGGGUGAGAUUGUCCAUUGACAUCUCAAGAAAGUUCUUUUGUCUACAAGACUUGUUAGGUUUUGACAAAGCAAGCAAAACUCUUGAUUGGCUCUUUACCAAAUCAAAGAAUGCAAUUAAGGAUUUGGUUGACGAAACAAAUCACUGCCCAUCUUCCAAUGUAAGUGAUGAAUCUAAUGUGAAAUUUCUCGAAUCUAUUAAGGCAGAUUCAGAUGAGGAUAAAGGGAAAAAGAAGUGUGUUGAUGGUAAAAAGAAGAAAGUGACACAGAAGUCGAUAGCUGGAUCUCAAGAGAAUCUUGCAAGAGAUCAGUCAAGGGUUAUGGCAAGAGCAAGAGCUAGAGAAAGAACAAGAGAGAAGAUGAACACUAAAAAGGUUAAUGAUGAGUUGAAGAUACUAGUUCCUGAUGAGUUUGACUGUCAAGAAACUAGAGCAUGCAUUUCAUGGGUAAUCGUGUAAUCAUGCAUUAAUUACUCAAAAACACUUGCUGUCACUACAAGGAUUUGACCGUACAGUUAAUGGAAUGGAGAUAUGCAUGAUUUUACUUUUUCUUUUAGCAGCAACCAAAAUCUACACCACAUGCCUAUAAUCGAACUUCCAAAGAAAAGCAGGAAAAGUUCACAGAGCAAGCUUGACACCUAGCAGCAAAGUUAUAACUGAUGAGCAAGAGUUAAUGGUGGAAAACAAGUGAUAUUGUAAGGAUGUAAGUCUACCAAUAUUGUUUGCUACUGAAUUAAUCAUAUUCGUUAUGUUUAUUAACACAUUUGACUUGUAGUAACGAUUCUUGAUUGAUAUGAACUGAAAAUUAUCUGAGUCAGUUUAUAUGAUGUAACAUUAUAGAUAUUAUUGGCCCUAAUAAUUCUUGACCCAAGUUUAGAUAAUGCAUGGAUUGAUUAUUUCUAAUCUUCAUCAUCAUUUAGUAAUAGUUAUGUGUCAAAGCUGUUAAC
Helianthus annuus (common sunflower) is the source of this 1418-nucleotide RNA transcript. It is a transcript of the gene named transcription factor CYCLOIDEA, with no coding region annotated. The record is from RefSeq and is a predicted model, not a curated record. The transcript has 3 exons. NCBI's taxonomy places the organism in Eukaryota, Viridiplantae, Streptophyta, Magnoliopsida, Asterales, Asteraceae.